ACGUUACCCGCAGAAGAAGCACCGGCUAACUCCGUGCCAGCAGCCGCGGUAAUACGGAGGGUGCAAGCGUUAAUCGGAAUUACUGGGCGUAAAGCGCACGCAGGCGGUCUGUCAAGUCGGAUGUGAAAUCCCCGGGCUCAACCUGGGAACUGCAUUCGAAACUGGCAGGCUUGAGUCUUGUAGAGGGGGGUAGAAUUCCAGGUGUAGCGGUGAAAUGCGUAGAGAUCUGGAGGAAUACCGGUGGCGAAGGCGGCCCCCUGGACAAAGACUGACGCUCAGGUGCGAAAGCGUGGGGAGCAAACAGGAUU
RNAcentral lists this ribosomal RNA (308 nucleotides) under Salmonella enterica subsp. enterica serovar Newport. RNAcentral's name for it is "bacterial SSU rRNA". It matches the Rfam family "Bacterial small subunit ribosomal RNA", at positions 472 to 779 of the family's 1533-position model. Lineage: Bacteria; Pseudomonadati; Pseudomonadota; Gammaproteobacteria; Enterobacterales; Enterobacteriaceae. The record is from RNAcentral.